CAGGCGGGUCGGGGCGGGCGAGGCGCAGGGCUCUCCCACACGUCGCGCCGCCAAAGGCAAGUUGGAGGGCGAGAUGCAAAUACCAGACUCAUCACGGAUCCCUCCUGUGCAUGUUUGUGGUUGGAACCAAAGCUGAAGCCUCAAGGCAGAGAAAAGCCAGAACAGAGGUCUUCCUCUUGAGAAGGGCAGGGAGGGAGGACAGCACUGUGCCGACCACCUCAUAGUGACUGGCCCGAAUGUUUGCUGGUGACCUGGAACCCACGGCUUGUGGAAAACCAGGGGCCAGGCUAGAGAGUGGCUGUUCAGGGAAACCCACCGCCAAGGCCCGAGACGCGACUCAAAGUUUCCAUUCUACUGCCCGCGGUUUCAAAGCGUCGUCAACGCAGAGGAAAGACACCCCGCAACCGCAAUCCCUUUGCUGAAGGUGAGCCACCCCGAGCUCGUCGGCGGGGCACAGGAGGUGGCCCGAAGGACUAUUAGAAGCACUCCCGAAACUGCCCCACGCUUAGGCGCUACCGCAGCAAGGUCGGCUCUCGGGAUCUCCCGCCACGUGGGGGUAACGCCAGGCCCCCGAGGCAGUGGGGGUUCUGGCGGCCCCUCCCGCCUCUCCCUGGCCACCCU
Hipposideros armiger (great roundleaf bat) is the source of this 621-nucleotide long non-coding RNA. RefSeq lists it as uncharacterized. The transcript has 3 exons. NCBI's taxonomy places the organism in Eukaryota, Metazoa, Chordata, Mammalia, Chiroptera, Hipposideridae. The record is from RefSeq and is a predicted model, not a curated record.